CAAAAAAAGACCGUGAUGAUCUCCUGGGAGCCCCCGUGUCUACGGAAGGGCUCUUUGGAUCGAUUUCCUUGGUCACAUGGAUGAGGAGAAGUCGCAGCUUGGCCGUAUGCUGCUUCUUGCUCAUCCUCAGAGGAGAGAACACUAAAAACACACUUUUAUGGGGAAUGGAACCUCAGCUGUGUACUGACAGAGGGGAUGGACAGG
Molecule: long non-coding RNA, 204 nt
Organism: Notothenia coriiceps (black rockcod)
Lineage: Eukaryota; Metazoa; Chordata; Actinopteri; Perciformes; Nototheniidae
Exons: 4
Source: RefSeq, a predicted model, not a curated record